RNAcentral lists this ribosomal RNA (253 nucleotides) under uncultured bacterium. RNAcentral's name for it is "partial 16S ribosomal RNA". It matches the Rfam family "Bacterial small subunit ribosomal RNA", at positions 524 to 776 of the family's 1533-position model. The record is from RNAcentral.
UACAGAGGUCUCAAGCGUUGUUCGGAUUCAUUGGGCGUAAAGGGUGCGCAGGUGGCGAGGCAAGUCGGAUGUGAAAUCCCGGGGCUCAACCCAGGAACUGCGUCCGAUACUGGUUGGCUUGAAUCCGGGAGAGGGACGUGGAAUUCCAGGUGUAGCGGUGAAAUGCGUAGAUAUCUGGAGGAACACCGGUGGCGAAGGCGACGUCCUGGACCGGCAUUGACGCUGAGGCGCGAAAGCCAGGGGAGCAAACAGG